RNAcentral lists this ribosomal RNA (198 nucleotides) under uncultured bacterium. RNAcentral describes it as "partial 16S ribosomal RNA". It matches the Rfam family "Bacterial small subunit ribosomal RNA", at positions 328 to 539 of the family's 1533-position model. The record is from RNAcentral.
ACGCUCGACACCUACGGGAGGCGGCAGUGGGGAAUAUUGCACAAUGGGGGAAACCCUGAUGCAGCGACGCCGCGUGAGCGAAGAAGUAUCUCGGUAUGUAAAGCUCUAUCAGCAGGGAAGAAGAUGACGGUACCUGACUAAGAAGCACCGGCUAAAUACGUGCCAGCAGUCGCGGUAAUCUGAGCGGGCUGGCAAGGC